GACAGAGGGUGCUAGCGUUGUUCGGAAUGACUGGGCGUAAAGGGCGCGUAGGCGGUUAUAUUAGUCAAGCGUGAAAGCCCCGGGCUUAACCCGGGAACAGCGCAUGAAACGGUAUGACUGGAGAACGAGAGAGGUAAGCGGAAUUCCUAGUGUAGAGGUGAAAUUCGUAGAUAUUAGGAGGAACAUCAGAGGCGAAGGCGGCUUACUGGCUCGUAACUGACGCUGAGGCGCGAAAGCGUGGGGAGCAAACAGG
Molecule: ribosomal RNA, 253 nt
Filed under: uncultured bacterium
Lineage: Bacteria
Description: partial 16S ribosomal RNA
Rfam family: Bacterial small subunit ribosomal RNA
Source: RNAcentral